AUCCGGAUUUAUUGGGUUUAAAGGGAGCGCAGGCGGUCUUAUAAGCGUGACGUGAAAUGCAGCGGCUCAACCGUAUGAUGUGCGUCGCGAACUGUGAGACUUGAGUGUAUUCGAUGUCAGCGGAAUUUGUGGUGUAGCGGUGAAAUGCUUAGAUAUCACGAAGAACUCCGAUUGCGAAGGCAGCUGACAAGGCUACAACUGACGCUAAAGCUCGAAAGUGCGGGUAUCGAACAGGAUUAGAUACCCUGGUAGUCCGCACGGUAAACGAUGGAUGCCCGGUGUUUGCGAUAUACAGUGAGCGCCCAAGCGAAAGCGUUAAGCAUCCCACCUGGGGAGUACGCCGGCAACGGUGAAACUCAAAGGAAUUGACGGGGGCCCGCACAAGCGGAGGAACAUGUGGUUUAAUUCGAUGAUACGCGAGGAACCUUACCCGGGCUUGAACUGUAGGCGAACGAUCCAGAGAUGGUGAGGCCCUUCGGGGCGCCUAUGGAGGUGCUGCAUGGUUGUCGUCAGCUCGUGCCGUGAGGUGUCGGCUUAAGUGCCAUAACGAGCGCAACCCCUCUCUUCAGUUGCCAUCAGGUUAUGCUGGGCACUCUGGAGACACUGCCACCGUAAGGUGUGAGGAAGGUGGGGAUGACGUCAAAUCAGCACGGCCCUUACGUCCGGGGCUACACACGUGUUACAAUGGGUGGUACAGAGAGUUGUGUGUACGCAAGUGCAUUCUAAUCAAGAAAGCCAUCCUCAGUUCGGACUGGGGUCUGCAACCCGACCCCACGAAGCUGGAUUC
RNAcentral lists this ribosomal RNA (787 nucleotides) under uncultured Bacteroidota bacterium. RNAcentral describes it as "bacterial SSU rRNA". It matches the Rfam family "Bacterial small subunit ribosomal RNA", at positions 543 to 1333 of the family's 1533-position model. Lineage: Bacteria; Pseudomonadati; Bacteroidota. The record is from RNAcentral.